GUUAAAGGCCUCCCUUUUUUUGCUCCCUUUUCUCCCUUGAUCCUUCAUGAGCCCGCUUAGGUCUCUUCCAAACGAAUUUUCCUUUCUUUCCUAUUCUAAAGCCUUUUAAAAUAAACUCCUCUUCCUGUUAUGGAACUUGCCUCGGUCUCUUUUUCUGCUUUAUGCCCCUCAGUCGAAUUCUUUCUUCUGAGCAGGCAAAGGCUGAAGUUGCUCCAGACACCUAUGGAUUUGCCGUCGGUAAAUCAGGGUAACUCGGAUCUCUUCCAUUGCUAACACAGACAGUUGUGAAGCUAUACGCAGAAGGCCUCUAGAUGAUGAGGCAGCAUAAACUGGAAGGAACCUGGGUUUCUCAACCACCACAGAGAGAAAAGCCGCCAUUCGGGACCUUACAAUUGGUCUCCUGCCUCUAAAAUUACGCUCCACAAGAGAAACUCAUCCACUCCUCCGUCUUCUCAUCCCCAAGGCCUAAGACAGCUCUGACCUUAUCUCCAAAUACAGUCACCUUCCAAGAUACUGAGGAUUAAGACAUCAACAUAUGGAUUUAAGGGGACACAAUUCAACCCCUUGCAAAGAGCUACAGAUGUCUUUAUUCUACUACUCAUAAAAUGUCUUAGGAAUACAAUAGCC
Long non-coding RNA from Gorilla gorilla gorilla (western lowland gorilla), 627 nucleotides. RefSeq lists it as uncharacterized. The transcript is spliced from 4 exons. Lineage: Eukaryota; Metazoa; Chordata; Mammalia; Primates; Hominidae. The record is from RefSeq and is a predicted model, not a curated record.